AUGUAAUCAAUGUUUACAUGUGGAGUAAAUACUUUUUGGGGGGUUAAUUUUAAUACAUGUAUCACAAAAGCAACUCAAUAGUUACAUAAAGGAGAAUGAUUGUUGUCUAAGUAAAAUUUUUAUCUAGCUCUCUUAAUAAUAAGGACUAAGUCAGAAAAUCCACCAGGAUUUCCAAAAAUACGCCUUUUGAAAUUUUCUAAGUUUUUAUUUCCCUGUGCGAAAGAGACUAAGAAAAAAAUACGCCUGGAUUAAGAAUUUACGCCAGGAGAAAAGGAGACGUAUUUCUGGCAAAAAUACGUGUACGCAUGAAAAUGAACCGUAUUUUUAAGAAUACGUCUCUUGUACGCCAGGAUUUGCAAAAAGUCCAGGCGUAAUACGCCUCUGAAUUUCAUACGGGUUUUUGAGGGCAUUUCAGCAACAAACGAAGAUGCACGUUUUCCCCCAGAAUUUGACUUCCUGGACACCACUGUCUCUCCAAUUAUAACACUGUUUAUACCAGUUCUAUAGGAAUUGUCGCUGAUCCUGGAAAAAGGAAACCAGUGUACUAGUAUGCUCCAGAAAUUCUAUGGCACCACACAGUGCAGCUUUCCCAGCUUCACCAAGAGUGUUACUACUUGUAAAGAUACAGUACACUCUCUGAUGGAAGAUUCACCCACCCAUUCUUGAUAAUGUCUCUGUAAGCAGAUGGAUUCCUAUUGUACAAGUUUUUUUUCCACUGGAGAAGAAGUCAGCUUCACCAGGUUGUAAGGUGACUCCAUUACAAAGAGAAACUGUCUGCAAAGUUUUGAACAAGCCUGAAAUCGCAGUUUCAUUAAACUCUGUGUAAUUGGAAAUGAGAUACGUGGAUAGAUCUACUGAUGUACCAGCAACCAACAGUUCAAUAAAACCUGUAUUUUUAAUAUUAGUUCAGUGAGGACAGAAUUUCCAUUAAAUUUUUCAAUGGACAAUAAUCCUAAUUUUAGAUUUUCAUCUGUUCUUUCUAAUACAUUCCACUGCUUUGGAACAAAUGUUGAUAUACCUGCAAAGGUGAGAGCUUUUUCAGGUAGAACUUCAAAUACUGAGCCUCUAACACCAGGUUUUCUUUUUGUUCCAUUAAUUCCGUUUUCCCACACAGAAGACUUUUUUAUUGUGGGAAACAUUUUUUUUAACAUUUUAAACAAAUGGUCAUAACUGCAUGUGUCUUUAAUGUUUGGAAACACAUGAAAUGCUUCAUUAAAUAUUUUGUCCAUUGACAUGUUGUUUAAAUUCAGUACUUUGCUUUUAUCCUCUGUCAAAUUUUCAGCUAGCCUACAAAAUCAA
Saccostrea echinata is the source of this 1299-nucleotide long non-coding RNA. RefSeq lists it as uncharacterized. The transcript is spliced from 4 exons. Lineage: Eukaryota; Metazoa; Mollusca; Bivalvia; Ostreida; Ostreidae. The record is from RefSeq and is a predicted model, not a curated record.